Molecule: ribosomal RNA, 796 nt
Filed under: uncultured Chloroflexota bacterium
Lineage: Bacteria; Bacillati; Chloroflexota
Description: SSU rRNA
Rfam family: Bacterial small subunit ribosomal RNA
Source: RNAcentral
AGANCGCUUUCUUCGGAAAGCAUAUAUCUAGUGGCAGACGGCUGAGUAACGCGUAAGUAACUUACCCUUGAGUGGGGAAUAACACAGAGAAAUCUGUGCUAAUACCGCAUACGAUUUAUUAAUAAUUUUUAUAAAUGAAAGAUUUAUCGCUCUUGGAUGGGCUUGCGUCCUAUCAGGUUGUUGGCGGGGUAAUGGCCCACCAAGCCUAAGACGGGUAGCUGGUGUGAGAGCACGACCAGCCAGAGGGGGACUGAGACACGGCCCCCACUCCUACGGGAGGCAGCAGCUAAGAAUAUUGCACAAUGGACGAAAGUCUGAUGCAGCGACACCGCGUGAAGGAUGAAGGCCCUAGGGUUGUAAACUUCUUUUAUUAGGGAAUAGCAAGGAAGGUACCUAAUGAAUAAGCAACGGCUAACUACGUGCCAGCAGCCGCGGUAAUACGUAGGUUGCAAACGUUGUCCGGAAUCACUGGGCGUAAAGGGUCCGUAGGCGGUUUGAUAAGUCUCAUAUGAAAGCUUCAAGCUCAACUUGGAGAUGUUGUGAGAUACUGUCAGACUAGAGACUGUUAGAGGUAAGUGGAAUUCCAGGUGUAGUGGUGAAAUGCGUAGAUAUCUGGAGGAACACCAGUGGCGAAAGCGACUUACUGGGACAGUUCUGACGCUAAGGGACGAAAGCGUGGGGAGCGAACCGGAUUAGAUACCCGGGUAGUCCACGCUGUAAACGAUGAUUGCUAGGUUUUCGGGGCAUCGACCCCUCGUGAGCCGAAGUUAACGCGUUAAGCAAUCCGCCUGANUAG